Molecule: ribosomal RNA, 253 nt
Filed under: uncultured bacterium
Lineage: Bacteria
Description: partial 16S ribosomal RNA
Rfam family: Bacterial small subunit ribosomal RNA
Source: RNAcentral
UACAGGGGGGGCAAGCGUUGUUCGGAAUUACUGGGCGUAAAGGGCUCGUAGGCGGCCGGCUAAGUCAGACGUGAAAUCCCUCAGCUUAACUGGGGAACUGCGUCUGAUACUGGUUGGCUUGAGUGCAGGAGAGGAACGCGGAAUUCCAGGUGUAGCGGUGAAAUGCGUAGAUAUCUGGAGGAACACCGGUGGCGAAGGCGGCGUUCUGGACUGCAACUGACACUGAGGAACGAAAGCCAGGGUAGCAAACGGG